Long non-coding RNA from Bombus pascuorum, 4479 nucleotides. RefSeq lists it as uncharacterized. The record is from RefSeq and is a predicted model, not a curated record. The transcript has 3 exons. NCBI's taxonomy places the organism in Eukaryota, Metazoa, Arthropoda, Insecta, Hymenoptera, Apidae.
CGACAAUGCAGUUAACGUUUCACGAUGUAGUGGAGGAGACAAAGUCAGCAGUGCGCUCUGCUCGAAACCGCGUAAUUUUCACGUUGAGAAGUUAUUGGAUAUUUCACAAUCACAAUUCGAGACCAGAAUUUCCGGAGUGGAAAUAAAACGUGCGUCUAUUGUGAAGUCGUCAGCGUUUUCUUAAACGUUAAGAUGAGGACUCUCGAGUCCUUCGUGUCCUAUAAAAAUUCCAUCUUCUCGGAUUUGAGUCCUUCUCAAGUGAAUUCGAACAUUCUAUCGUUAAACAAUUUCUAAAAAAUUCGUAGAAAACAGAAUUGCUCUUAAUACGCCGUCCCGGAAUUUCACGUUGAAUAUUUUUUUUAAUUGUUAAAAAUCAUCGCGUUUGUGAGCGUGACGACGAUUGAGAAAAGAUUUGGACAAUCUAAAAGGGCUAAUUACGCUUAAGAAAAUAUAAAUUUGCAUAAAUAUCCGCGGUCUAUCUAUUGAAGAAAACAAAAAAAGAGAAGAAGAAGGAAGGAAGUAACAGCAAAAGAGAGAAAGAGAAGAUGGAGAGCAGAAGGAGAGAAAUGGAGAUGCAACUGAGAAUCCCUGUCCAGUAAUAUUGAUAGCAGACAAUUACGCGUGGGCCGAGCCGCAGAUGCGCAAAAACACCAAGAAUAGAAGCUCGUAGCAGCUAUAUCUACGAUAGACAACUUUAGAAUCCAUCAAAUCCAAACUCCGUGAUAAGAAUCUCCAUCGUUAUUCAAGCCCGAAGAAACACACAUAAAAGAAAAAAUAAAAAAAGAUGGAACACACGAAACACGUUUCAUCGCUGUUAUUCUACCAAUUAACGCCUCGUUAAUCUUUUCUAAUAUCUUACAUAGAGGCGUUAAAUACGAAUAGCACGAACAACAUAAUAAGAUCGUGUUUUCUGAAUCAUCUCAAGGCGCUUCAUCUAAGCGACUGGUAAUGCAAAUUACGAAGAUUAAUGAACGUCUACCGACGUAUCUGGCCUGCAUGGUGAUUUCAAGCAAACAAGCAGCCAGAUUUUUAUGUUUCAUGGAAAACUACUGACAAAUUCCAUAGUACAAUUUUCCAACCGGUCUACGUGAUUUCGUACAUCACACUCUGACGCGAUGCAGAUAAUAAAGAGGAUUACCUUAUCAAGAAUUUAAUCCUCUGUACUUAACUGUUCUCUCCAAUUACGGGAUAAACGUAUAGAAAAUUCAGUUCGAUGAUUAUGAUCGUUAAUAAUUAGAAAUAUGGAAAGGUGGUAAAAUCGGUUGGCUGUUAAGCCACAAAGGUUGUUACAGGUGAAAGUUUACUGUGAAUUUUUCUUUUCCAUUAUAAAAUAUUAUAUAUAAUUUAAUAAAAUUAUAGAUCAGUGAAAUUAAAUGUUCUGUUAUUUUGUUUAAUCGCGAACUCUUAGAGGCUGUUAUGGGUGAAACGCACGCACCAUUACUGCGUCACAUUUUGCUUAAGCUAAAAAAUUAACAUAGUUAAGCACGAUUAAAUAUUUUAUCAUUAUUGGAUGCAAUGUUUGCGGCGUUUACGAUAUUAUUACAACUAAAUAUACAUCUUAUUCAAACAAACAUUCAUUCAUUACAGCAAACUUCAAUUAUGAACUAUUGUUCAAUUGCAAAUAUCCAACAAGAUAAAAAUUGAAUAAAAAAACAGUUAUGUCGGGGUCUAUGCACGUAGAACUCUAACUGAGAUUAGUUCAGUUGUUAAUGCUACUUUAUUUAUUUGCUUUAUUUUACGAUCUCAAUAUGUAUAUCGUUUCUAUUCGCUACACGAAGAAUUCGAAGAAUUUAUGAUCUAGUAUUUAGUCGUUGCUCGAGCUACAACUGGACAAUGGAGGUGUCGAAUUGGACCUUCGUUGCUACGUGAAACGCGUAUGCAAGGUAUCCGCGAUCAUUUAGGAACAAUUAGACCGAGAUAUUUGGAUAAUAGGAGAGUUGGAACAGCAGCGGAAAUUUUUGGAAAUUCAAUUCUGACGAGAGACAACUUAUUUACGCUCGAUCACUGUUAUCGUCAACCAGCUGUGUUUUCAGAGUUACACACGAUUUCGCACGCUAACGAACGCACGAUAAGGAAAGUGUGACUUGCAUAUAAUUAAUAGACACAUGCUGUUGUAUUUUGAUACUGUGUGUAAAUUCGUAGUCUAUACGAACAAUUUAGAUUUGAUUCUCAUGGAUCCGAUAUUUGUUAAAACGAUCAUUCUAAUUAAAAGAAAAACAAAAAAUGCCGCAGUUAAGAAAACGAAUAAAGAAAUUAAUUAAUCAACCUUUACUUUUAUAAAUAUUGUGUGACUGUGAAUUUAUAGCUCGUACAAAAAAUUCCAUUUUUUUUUUGUUUUUUUUUUUUAAAUAUUCAGUACACGUAAUUUCGGCGAAAAAUCGACGUGAAUCGAUAAAAUUAUUAUCGACACGAUUUUAAUUCCAGCGUUAGAGAAAAAAAGAACUAAAUAAAUGAUCGCAUUUUAUGAGCGAAAUAAAUCAACUUAUGAAGAACUAUCGCUAUUCCAAUCAGUUUAUUCAACACACUUCAAUCAAUCCUUGUUCGAGAUUUCAUAGCUUUUUGGAUAACAACAACAAUGGACGAUCGAUUGAUCACUCAAUUUAAGCAACGCACUGCUUCAAAGCGAAAUGAACUUUUUACACAUAGUUCUAAUCUCUUUGAUUAUUAGCCUUUGAAGUUGCUUGCCACUAGUAAAGCACGUGUAUUUUAUAUAUACCCAUAGACAGUGAAAGGGUUAAUAAAAAAUCUAAUUGCAGAAUUAGAAAUUGACGAACCAUAAAGAAGAUAAGGCAGGUAGGUAAAAAAGGUUCGUAUGGGAAGCUCAUAAUGCUAUUAGUGUAUAACUUAUAAGCGUUUAAAGAUUUCCAGGGAACCUGUGAAAUUAUUUCUAAAGAAAAUGUGACACAGACAGAUGACCAGUUCUGCUCCAUUUUGGACUAUUAUUUCUACAAUGUCAGGAAUAUUCGAAGGAAUUCCAUAAUUAUUAAUUCCACGAAUGAAAGACUGCAUUCUUGCAGAAGGAAGAAAUCUCGAACAUUCAUUACAACUACCAUGAAACAAUUAAUAAAAAUAUUUGGACUUGCUUACAAUUGCUUGCAAAUUCUUACAGCUCUGCGAUAAAGCAUUUUCGAAAACGAUUUGACGAUUUUCUACCUUUUGACGUCAUUAACGUAAGUUUCCUCCCGAUCUUACAUAGCGUUACUCUCCUCUCAAUACUUCAUAUAUCGAGUAAUUUAUAUUUAUCACUAUUUGUUACAUAGAUCUGGAACACGAAUUGCACUUCAUUUGCUACAUAUUAUCGUAAUAGAUGCAGCGAGUAACAUCACUGAACGAACGUCUCAUAGACGCUCGUAAUAGACAGUGAAAAGGUUAAUAAGAAGUCGGACUACAGAAUUCGAAAUGAAGGAACAUUAUAUCUGAAAUCACAAGCAACAGAUGGUAAGGAGAAACGAUCGAAGGAAUGCAUUGUUUAUCCUGCCCGUGUCCAGCGACGUGUUACGGGUUGGCGCCAUGGUUCUCGCUAGCUGGGCAAUUUUAGCGAAGUUUCGUGGAGCUAAUGGAACGAAGAUGGAAUGUUGGCACGGUUCCGAGAGAGCGAAGGUGACGCGUUCCAGCGUGUCCUCGGACCACGGUGUGAAACAACUCGAGGACGGAAACAUCGUCUACGGCGUCUUGUUUUUGGAAACACGACGGAGGGUUCGCGGGAGGCUAGAAUCCACUCGUUGCUCGCGUGUUCUACGUCGAUCGUGCUUUAUGCAAUCCCUACUUGGUAUUUUCGAGCGAUACGAACAGAGUUUUGGGAACAGAGUUCUUAAGCAACCUUGCGGAGGGAGAAAGAACGCGAAUUCGAAAGAAGAAGAACGUGGCCAUUGAAAUAUGGCUCUAAGAAUAAUUAUAUCGAGAUAUACACGUGUUUAGAAUGAAAUGACAAAUGGGAAUUUUUAUCGUCUUUGAUGUUGAUCUUUCCGAUACCGAUCUUUUUCAUUCCUUUAAUUUUAACGUUGAUCGUAAAUUUAGUAGCAUAGUUUCCUACAGAAAUUGUCUACAGUGACUAAUACUGAUCCAAGGAAUACAUAUUUGAUUAUUAUUUUAUCGACACGCGUUAUGUUUAUUUUUCUUCUAUCUCGCGGAUCUAACAGGUUCUUUUCGUUUUCAAAUAUUCGUGUUUAAAUAUUCAGCUUCAGUCACAGCGCGGUGUUAAAAUUAAAAAACUGACGGAGGUGUACCGGCCACGUUUCUGUUCCUACGGAUCUUUGUAUAUUUACGUUCGUUUUAUUCCUAUUAGAAAAUGAAUAGAAUUCGCUAAUGAGUGUCACGCACAGAGUUUAGAAACGGACGAAGGAUAAUUUUAGCCCAUGAUAGCCCUUCGCGUAUAGAUAUGAUAAACAGGGUGAGAUACGUGCAAUCGACAUAGAACAUCGACCCCAGUCAGGACCACCCACUACUAAAACUAAUCUAUUUUCCACUCCAUAGAGGAGU